This 1437-nucleotide ribosomal RNA is filed under the name Streptomyces sp. SY-BS5. RNAcentral describes it as "16S ribosomal RNA". It matches the Rfam family "Bacterial small subunit ribosomal RNA". The record is from RNAcentral. Lineage: Bacteria; Bacillati; Actinomycetota; Actinomycetes; Kitasatosporales; Streptomycetaceae.
GCGUCUUACACAUGCAGUCGACGAUGAAGCCUUUCGGGGUGGAUUAGUGGCGAACGGGUGAGUAACACGUGGGCAAUCUGCCCUUCACUCUGGGACAAGCCCUGGAAACGGGGUCUAAUACCGGAUAACACUCUGUCCCGCAUGGGACGGGGUUAAAAGCUCCGGCGGUGAAGGAUGAGCCCGCGGCCUAUCAGCUUGUUGGUGGGGUAAUGGCCUACCAAGGCGACGACGGGUAGCCGGCCUGAGAGGGCGACCGGCCACACUGGGACUGAGACACGGCCCAGACUCCUACGGGAGGCAGCAGUGGGGAAUAUUGCACAAUGGGCGAAAGCCUGAUGCAGCGACGCCGCGUGAGGGAUGACGGCCUUCGGGUUGUAAACCUCUUUCAGCAGGGAAGAAGCGAAAGUGACGGUACCUGCAGAAGAAGCGCCGGCUAACUACGUGCCAGCAGCCGCGGUAAUACGUAGGGCGCAAGCGUUGUCCGGAAUUAUUGGGCGUAAAGAGCUCGUAGGCGGCUUGUCACGUCGGAUGUGAAAGCCCGGGGCUUAACCCCGGGUCUGCAUUCGAUACGGGCUAGCUAGAGUGUGGUAGGGGAGAUCGGAAUUCCUGGUGUAGCGGUGAAAUGCGCAGAUAUCAGGAGGAACACCGGUGGCGAAGGCGGAUCUCUGGGCCAUUACUGACGCUGAGGAGCGAAAGCGUGGGGAGCGAACAGGAUUAGAUACCCUGGUAGUCCACGCCGUAAACGUUGGGAACUAGGUGUUGGCGACAUUCCACGUCGUCGGUGCCGCAGCUAACGCAUUAAGUUCCCCGCCUGGGGAGUACGGCCGCAAGGCUAAAACUCAAAGGAAUUGACGGGGGCCCGCACAAGCAGCGGAGCAUGUGGCUUAUUCGACGCAACGCGAAGAACCUUACCAAGGCUUGACAUAUACCGGAAAGCAUCAGAGAUGGUGCCCCCCUUGUGGUCGGUAUACAGGUGGUGCAUGGCCUGUCGUCAGCUCGUGUCGUGAGAUGUUGGGUUAAGUCCCGCGAACGAGCGCAACCCUUGUUCUGUGUUGCCAGCAUGCCCUUCGGGGUGAUGGGGACUCACAGGAGACUGCCGGGGUCAACUCGGAGGAAGGUGGGGACGACGUCAAGUCAUCAUGCCCCUUAUGUCUUGGGCUGCACACGUGCUACAAUGGCCGGUACAAUGAGCUGCGAUGCCGCGAGGCGGAGCGAAUCUCAAAAAGCCGGUCUCAGUUCGGAUUGGGGUCUGCAACUCGACCCCAUGAAGUCGGAGUUGCUAGUAAUCGCAGAUCAGCAUUGCUGCGGUGAAUACGUUCCCGGGCCUUGUACACACCGCCCGUCACGUCACGAAAGUCGGUAACACCCGAAGCCGGUGGCCCAACCCCUUGUGGGAGGGAGCUGUCGAAGGUGGGACUGGCGAUUGGGACGAAGUCG